This 484-nucleotide ribosomal RNA is filed under the name uncultured bacterium. RNAcentral describes it as "partial 16S ribosomal RNA". It matches the Rfam family "Bacterial small subunit ribosomal RNA", at positions 30 to 507 of the family's 1533-position model. The record is from RNAcentral.
AUUGAACGCUGGCGGAAUGCUUUACACAUGCAAGUCGAACGGCAGCACGGGAGCAGCCCUGGUGGCGAGUGGCGAACGGGUGAGUAAUACAUCGGAACGUGCCCGGUCGUGGGGGAUAACGUAGCGAAAGUUACGCUAAUACCGCAUACGAUCUGAGGAUGAAAGCGGGGGACCUUCGGGCCUCGCGCGAUCGGAGCGGCCGAUGUCAGAUUAGGUAGUUGGUGGGGUAAAGGCCUACCAAGCCGACGAUCUGUAGCUGGUCUGAGAGGACGACCAGCCACACUGGGACUGAGACACGGCCCAGACUCCUACGGGAGGCAGCAGUGGGGAAUUUUGGGCAAUGGGCGCAAGCCUGAUCCAGCCAUUCCGCGUGCAGGACGAAGGCCUUCGGGUUGUAAACUGCUUUUGUACGGAACGAAAAGGCUCUGGCUAAUACCUGGGGCUCAUGACGGUACCGUAAGAAUAAGCACCGGCUAACUACGUG